AUACACUGAGUCAAAGCAGAGUACUGAAGAAAGUACAAGCUCAAGGAGGUGAUAAAUCCAGUAAUUGCCUGAUAAAAGAGAUGCAGACUGAUAGUAAAUUACACCCCACCGCAGUAACUAAAAAGAUCGCCUACGGGUUGGGAUGAUGGCCUCCGCCUAAUUAAUCAUCCAGGUCUUCCACACAAACCAUUCAACUCCGGAUGCCCGCAGGUCUUAAAAGUGCCUUUCAGAUCAUGUUUUAAAACCUUCCACGUCUGGCGUUGGGAACGCAGCCGCGGCUUGGUGCUGGAUAGCAAGAGGCAAAGGAAGGAAAGCACAGCACUUCCUCAGACCAGAGGCAAAGGCAGGUGCAUACAACGGCCACCCGCAGAGCAGCGGUGUCAGUGGACGGAGGUGUGUCCGUGGCCCUCAUGGGAUGCCCAGUGCUGUGUGGGUAUCCCCAUUGCUCACGCCAUCCCCAGCUUCCUAUUUCUCUUGCAACUGGGACAUCAGCAUGUUUCAGGCAAACCUAUACACUGUGAUUCCAGAGCAGCCUCAAACGACACUUCGUCAAAAUAGAAACGUUCUCCGUG
Long non-coding RNA from Lontra canadensis (Northern American river otter), 572 nucleotides. RefSeq lists it as uncharacterized. Lineage: Eukaryota; Metazoa; Chordata; Mammalia; Carnivora; Mustelidae. The transcript is spliced from 4 exons. The record is from RefSeq and is a predicted model, not a curated record.